Herpailurus yagouaroundi (jaguarundi) is the source of this 990-nucleotide long non-coding RNA. RefSeq lists it as uncharacterized. The transcript is spliced from 5 exons. NCBI's taxonomy places the organism in Eukaryota, Metazoa, Chordata, Mammalia, Carnivora, Felidae. The record is from RefSeq and is a predicted model, not a curated record.
GACAGGGUGCCUUCUGGCAGGUUCUGCUUUGGAAGAGAAGUGGUUAACAAUAUUAUCCGACAAAAAGACCCCUGGUGCACAGUGGUUUGUUUUUGUUUUUGUUUUUGUUUUGUUUUGCGUAGGGCUUGUUCCCGUAGUCCCUGGCUCAUUUCUGCACUAUAUCUCCUUUUUGGGGAGUGGGGUGGGGCCUCAGGGCCUGAGGGGUCCAGAAGAAGAAAGGAAGCAGAGAGGAUCCUGGAGAUUUUCUGCGAGACAGCUGGAGGAAAUCCUGUGUACUCUGCAUUCAACGUGAUUCCCAAACCAAGUGGAUCUGAACUGAUGCCUUUCUGGGGGAAGAGCCUAUUUUCCAUCUGGGAAAGUGCCUCUUUGUGUGGUGUGAGGAAACAGCAGUCCAUAGUACCUCAGGCAGCUUGUGAGGACCAGCCUUCUUACCAGAUCAAGUUUUCACUCCACAGACCUGCCUUUCUCUCAAGGAACCCCUCCAGAGCGGAGCCCCACCCUUCCCAGCUUGGGUUGAUUCGUUGCGUGAUUCUGCAGGUGGAUUAGCAGGAAUAAUGGACUUAACAGCCACCACCUAUGUGCAAGGGUCUUUGGGACUGUGUUGGACUGACUGAAGUGCCUACCUCAAUCAGCAAAUGCAAAUUGCAAUCAAGAAAAGAAUCCAGAACUCAGGGCAAGAGAUGCAGAGACAAACAUCAGAACAGAGACAUGAGGCAAAACCAGGUAUAAGAAAUCAUUCAAGAAAGAAAAGAGAAAUCAUUCCGUGUCAGAAGCCAAUAUCAUCAGAAGCAGGUCCUGGGACUAAGAUCUGAGACUGCAGUCCGGGCCUCAGGAAACCUCUCAAGAUGCGGAUGCAGUCCCCACCAUGUGUCCUAAUUGUCUUGCUCUGGUGACCCUCGUUACCUCUCUGCCUCUUCACUUAGAUUCUUCAGGUCAGUUGUCCAGCUGGACUUUCUAUGUGGCUUUGUGCAUAAUAAACAUGGUCUGUGU